GGAAACCCACAGAUAAAUGGCCAGAGGGGAUGUUUCAGCUAAUUACUGGAAUACAUAAAUAACCAAGAAGUCUUACAGCUUACUUUUACAGACUAUACCUGGUGUAAUGUUUGUCCAUGUGUACCUCCUUUUCUAUGCCUUCCAUAGUCAACACAACUUUUCCAUCUGCUUGGUCAAGUCUGAAUUUGAAUUAAAAGGAAAAUAAAAACCCUCACUGAAACCCUCCAUCCAGAAGGCCUCAUUCCCCAGCCAUUGGGAUAAUUUUUCAUUAUUUUUCCAAACCUUUUAGCCCUCAAAAAGAGAAUCAGAUCAACGUCAAUGUACAAUGACCUCAACCUCCACCCACAAAACCAGUAUUUAAUCUCCAUGACUAUGGGCAAGGAUAUUGAAGACAUCAAAAAAUGCUUUGUGAUUUGUACUGACACUACAAUCAGUUCUGGUGUUUUGCUCACUGGGAAAGGGCUGAGCCUGGAGAAAGUUCUCACUUCAAAACCUUCCUAUACACAUGAAGACCUCAGGCCUAAGAAGGUUCAAGAACAUUGGUGUUAUGCCCAUCUUUUCUGGUUCUUUAAAGACAGUUGACAAGCCCAACAUUAUGGUUCAUGGAACUUUUAAGAACAGUGAAAAUUCUUGGAUGUUCUGAAGCUGUCUUUGUAUUUGUCAGCUUGAUUUAGUCAAUAUUCUGGCUUUGUAUUCCAGAUACUUAUAUGUAAGUAACAUGGUUUUUCUUUUCUUACAAUUUCAGUGGGAUUUUGUUUUUUUUGCUUAUCAAUAUCGUGUCCAUUCUCUGCCCAGUUUCAUUCUUGAUAUCAUACAUUCUCUCGAUGCCAACAGCACCUGUACCUCUGGAUAGGACCUGCCUGAUACACUGGCUUCAUUUAUAGGUACUGGGCAGCGUGCAUUCAACUUACUAACUUUUAGUCUCUCACCAGGAACAGAGAAUGAAAUAACUAUGGCUGAGCUGUCAAAGCCCCUGGCAGAUAAUUUGCUUCAAAAAUUGUGAAAGCCAUGGCCAGCAAGGAGAAUUAUAUGAUGGUAUUCUUCCAGGAACAAUAAAUUCUGGCAGUCAGUUUAGCAGGAAGCAAAGUUCUUAUUCCCAUCUCAUGAUCUAAGUAUCAAGAAGAGUACCAAGAAAUUCUCUUCAUAAUAUGUAUAAUUUCCAAAAACUUAAAGCCUGAUUCUCCUACAAAUACAAAGUGAGCAUAUGUCCAAGAUCUACUUAAUUCAUUAAUGAGGGAACAAGCAACUUUGUAAGUCAGCUCCAAAGUGAAUUGGAGAGAGCACAGGAAUUUUUUAUGGCAGAAAGAUGCUUCAAUUAGAUUGCUAAUUUAGACACCAAACUAGUUAAUGUCCUACAGGACAUUUAAACUGUAAUUUUGCUGAUAUCACUUGAAUCUCUACCAAAUAAAAUUCAUUUGCAAGGCUAUGGGACAGGAAUCUUUUCAUUUCUAUAGGAAAAAUAGUUACUUGCAUCACUAUUAGUUUCCUACAAAUUAACACCUUUCCAUCAGAGCUGUGAAAUAUACUAAGGAAUAGUAAACGGGAAAUCAAAUGAAGGGACAGGCAUCUAGAGGCAUGAAGUGCCACUGCACGACCCUGAGAGAAUAAAAAGUGAUCCUUUUGAUCUAUUUCAAUGUUUUAGGUAUAUUACAGAUCUCUUUUUAAAUGAUACUGGUGUAUUUGUAACAGGUUUGAAUCUGUAGCAUAGCUCCUGAGGUAGAAAAAUGCCACUAUCCUUUAUUUUCUUAAUCAAAAUUAAUUCUAGAAUAGCCUCUGCCUGCCAAGUAGUUGGGAAAUUCAAUCUGUAUCAUUUUUUUAAAAUUUUUUUUGAGGAGGAUUAGCCCUGAGCUAACAUCUGCUGCCAAUCCUCCUCUUUUUGCUGAGGAAGACCGGCCCUGAGCUAACAUCCGUGCCCGUCUUCCUCUACUUUAUACGUAGGAUGCCUACCACAGCAUGGCUUGCCAAGUGCUGCGCAGGUCUAUACCUGGGAUCUGAACUGGCGAACCCUGGGCCGCUGAAUGAGAACAAGUGAACUUAACUUCUGCGCCACUGGGCUGGCCCCUCAAUCUGUAUCAUUUUUACCAUCAUUUAUCCUUGUCAUCAGUUUGUCAUAGUAACUCUCCUUUUGCUCCUUGUGCAUGGUCCUUGUGCAUGUGAUCUUCGGGAUGCUGAGGAAUGAUAGUUGACUCUCCUCUCAAUCACAACCACCUUCCUGUUACCUCCUAACUGGAUCUGGCUUUCCCUGAAGUCUGCCAUGGGGAGGAGAUGACGUGUUAGAGGAUGCGCGGUGCUUGGUCUGUCUCAGUGUCUGCAUCAGUACCUCUCUGCCUCUGAUGCCUUGAUUUGCCCUUUGCUCAGACUUAAUGCUCUCACAGGCCACAGAGUGACUGCAGGCGAGGGAAGCAGUAGGGACCCUGCAAAACUUCCUCCCUCAUACCAUGCUCCCCAUUGUACCCCAUCCUCUUGCUGCUAUGUGGGUGCUGUUGUGAUUGCAGUUUGUAUAUUAAAGUAUUGUCAUAUUAAAUAUAUUUUGUUGGUCUAACAAUAAAAAACACUUCAUCCAAAAAAACAAAAUGAGCCACAUGGUCCAGUCAAAGACCCUCUCUUCAAUCUCUCCAUACCACAGGCACAGUUUCUUUGCCAAGAUUGCUGGCGUCUAACAUCUAAAGUCUAGCAUCCCUAAGCUCAUAUUUAGUACUCACCAUAAGAAAGGUGCCAGAUUUGACUAGGGCUUCAAUUCCCAUGACUGGGGCAACUGGCAGUAGUGUUUGUUCUCGCAGCCUUUGGAGAACACCUUCCCCACUGGGCCAUUCGUGAUAAGGCCACCGUCACUGACUCACUUCCCUCCUGCUUAUCUGGGGCAGUUCCAGCUCCAUUUCCUGAUAGGACAAAACAAAAACAAAAACACCUUUUAAAUGAAGACUUUUGAGGAGGUUUUCUCUAUAACACACUCGUUAAUCACAGGGUAUAUGUGUGUUUGUGUGUGUAUUUAGGGGAUGUGGGAAGGGUUGGCAAUGGCAUCAAAGGCAGGUAUACUGUGAAGUGAAAGAAGUUUAAGCUUCAGCACUCCACUUUUACAAAGUCUCCUUCCAAAGCCCUGAAAAGACCUUAGCAAUUUGUUCACCUGGAAGUCACAUUCCAGUAAAAUUUACAAAAGAUCAAAGAAUUUACCACAAUUGGUUUAAUGACCAUCUCUUUCCUUUCUGAUAGCUAGGUAGAUUCCCCUCAAGCAUGAGGUGUGUAGAAUAGAGGGUGUUGGUAGAAAGCAUGAGAGUAAGGGAGGCUAUUUCGGAGAUCUGGUUAAAGGGAGUUAAGUUUGGCAGAGUCGAGUCUGUUUUGGUGGUUUGCAGCAUAUCUCUGUACAGCUACAUUAUUGCUAGCGUGGUUUCACAGGCUCGUCAGUAACAGGAGUGAGAAGCUGAAACUUUUCUCAAUUCUCAAUAGUAAAAGAAUCCAAUUUAGACCAAACUUCUAGAGAAGUGACUGAAUUACUUUUAUUUCCUCUGUACAUAACAAUAUCAUAAAAUCCUUUUUAUAUGAAAAAGAUGAUCAAAGAGUAAACAACAGAAAGAUAAAGGGGUGAAAAGUAAUAUAGAGAUGGUUUGGGUAAUAAAAAAUGCCUUUUUUCUGGGUUUUGUGAUGUUUUGCU
Molecule: long non-coding RNA, 3649 nt
Organism: Equus caballus (horse)
Lineage: Eukaryota; Metazoa; Chordata; Mammalia; Perissodactyla; Equidae
Source: Ensembl